RNAcentral lists this long non-coding RNA (408 nucleotides) under Anser brachyrhynchus (Pink-footed goose). RNAcentral describes it as "lncRNA (ENSABRG00000004139.1)". Lineage: Eukaryota; Metazoa; Chordata; Aves; Anseriformes; Anatidae. The record is from RNAcentral.
AUGACCCAAACCACCCCUACAUCGUCCGUGUUGCGUCCUAACGCAAAGCACCUUUUGUGGUUUGCAGGACUUGGACUUGCACACCAUCCCAGCUGUCCUCAAAGUCCUGAUCUGAGUACUCGUGGCCGGGGCUGGUGCAGGACCACGCAGGGCUGUGGAGGAACACACACCGGUGUCCUCGUCCCCGCACCGUGCAGACUAGCAGGACAGCACAGCUCCUUUCUGCAAGCUAAAGCUGGACCAGGCAAGGCUAUCCCAAGAGGUCAGCAGCCAGUUGGAAAACCCAGGAGCAGUUAUGGGAGCCCAUGGCUGCAUAUCGCUGCUGUGUAACAAUGUGUGUUGUUUUCUCUGUCUUACAUGUUUUAAGGAAAAAAUAAAUAAAUACUGUGGCCUGUUUUUCCUUUCCUC